AUCCCUGUGGCUCAGUUGGUAGAGCAUGGUGUUUGCAACGCCAGGGUUGUGGGUUUGAUUCCCACAGGGGGGC
This 73-nucleotide transfer RNA is filed under the name Salmo salar (Atlantic salmon). It matches the Rfam family "tRNA". From Rfam's summary of the family: Transfer RNA (tRNA) molecules are approximately 80 nucleotides in length. The record is from Rfam by way of RNAcentral. Lineage: Eukaryota; Metazoa; Chordata; Actinopteri; Salmoniformes; Salmonidae.